GGGCCCGUAGCCUAGUUGGAUAGGGCGCAGAAACAUUAUUCGCGUAAGCCUUCGAAGCCUGAUGUCAAGGGUUCGAGUCCCUUCGGGCCCGCCA
RNAcentral lists this transfer RNA (94 nucleotides) under Candidatus Bathyarchaeota archaeon. Its description in RNAcentral is "tRNA-Arg". It matches the Rfam family "tRNA". From Rfam's summary of the family: Transfer RNA (tRNA) molecules are approximately 80 nucleotides in length. Their secondary structure includes four short double-helical elements and three loops (D, anti-codon, and T loops). Further hydrogen bonds mediate the characteristic L-shaped molecular structure. tRNAs have two regions of fundamental functional importance: the anti-codon, which is responsible for specific mRNA codon recognition, and the 3' end, to which the tRNAs corresponding amino acid is attached (by aminoacyl-tRNA synthetases). tRNAs cope with the degeneracy of the genetic code in two manners: having more than one tRNA (with a specific anti-codon) for a particular amino acid; and 'wobble' base-pairing, i.e. permitting non-standard base-pairing at the 3rd anti-codon position. Lineage: Archaea; Thermoproteati; Candidatus Bathyarchaeota. The record is from RNAcentral.